RNAcentral lists this non-coding RNA (148 nucleotides) under Pan paniscus (pygmy chimpanzee). RNAcentral also lists the same sequence under 1 other name. Lineage: Eukaryota; Metazoa; Chordata; Mammalia; Primates; Hominidae. The record is from Rfam by way of RNAcentral.
GUUGGGCACGGUGGCUCAUGCCUGUAAUCCCAGCACUUUGGGAUGCUGAGGUGGGAGGAUCACUUGAGUCCAGGAGUUCAAGGCUGCAGUGAGCUGUGUUCACGCCACUGCACUCCAGCCUGGGCAAUAGAGCGAGAUUCCAUCUCAA